UAAAAUACUUAGACCCUACCGUAUGGAC
This 28-nucleotide small RNA is filed under the name Bombyx mori (domestic silkworm). RNAcentral's name for it is "piRNA piR-bmo-1972410". The record is from RNAcentral. Lineage: Eukaryota; Metazoa; Arthropoda; Insecta; Lepidoptera; Bombycidae.